AUUAUUUUCCAGAUGAGGCCUGCUCAAGAGCAUUUGGCUGAUGGGGGCUGAAACCUCUCACUGCAACCAGGUUCAUUUGGCUCCAAGUCCUGUGUGCUCUUUAUGAAGUCAUAGCAAGGCCUGGACUAGGGUGAGAAAGGACAGGUGCCUGUGAGGCAGGACUUAAAGGAGGCGCUGGCCCUCAGGGGCAUGCGAGGGCAGGGUGAGCACCUGAGAGUGAGGGCCUCCUUAAAGUCUGUGGUCCAGGGUCCUUUGGUCCCCUAAUCCCAGAGCAGAAAAGAAAGCCUUCAAAUCCAGCUGCUGCCUGAAGAGCCUCAGACUCACUCCCCUGGGGCAGCAAAGUGCAUUUCUUUACCCACAAGGCCCUGUAGUGCUGACUGGAAGAUGGGGCUGUCAGGGACUCAUGGGAAAGAAUGGCACAUUGGAUACAAACUCAUUCGGCUUAGUUUUACCCUGUGGCUGCCCCUGUAGUGUCAUUUGUGACACCAGGAAUAUGUUCCAUACCAACCGAAUAGCUUCUCUUCCUAUUCGUGCCAGUGCAUGGAACUAUAUAAUCAUUCAUCUAUUCAUUAAUUCAUUUAUUUGUAGCCUUCCUCUUUAUAUAGGCUUAGAGAGCCACUACUCGAAGCCAAGCCUUACGUCAGGCAGCAGAGAUACCAAGAUGAGGUUGAAGAAAACACACGGCUUUCUCCACUCAUGGACUCCAAUGAGGAUGGCAACAACAUGGGCUGAGACUUGACCUUGUGACUCCAGCCUAGGAUUAUAUAAGGAUGUGACUGACCUUAGAGGAUUUCACGGGAACUUAGCUGUACACGUGGAACCCAUUUAUUUGCUGACACUUCUCAUUUCCUUUCAGAACAAACCUACAUUCCCAGACCUAUAAUUUUCUUGAGAAAAUGGGUUUAUUAUAAGUCACUCAAUAAAACACCCUACCAUGGCUUCCCAGUACAAA
Homo sapiens (human) is the source of this 952-nucleotide long non-coding RNA. Ensembl annotates it as long intergenic non-protein coding RNA 2153. The record is from Ensembl. Lineage: Eukaryota; Metazoa; Chordata; Mammalia; Primates; Hominidae.